Molecule: ribosomal RNA, 253 nt
Filed under: uncultured bacterium
Lineage: Bacteria
Description: partial 16S ribosomal RNA
Rfam family: Bacterial small subunit ribosomal RNA
Source: RNAcentral
UACGAAGGGGGCUAGCGUUGUCCGGAAUUACUGGGCGUAAAGCGCGCGCAGGCGGUCUUCCAAGUCAGUGGUGAAAGCCUGGAGCUCAACUCCAGAACUGCCAUUGAAACUGUUAGACUUGAGUACGAGAGAGGUGAGUGGAAUUCCCAGUGUAGAGGUGAAAUUCGUAGAUAUUGGGAAGAACACCAGUGGCGAAGGCGGCUCACUGGCUCGUAACUGACGCUCAGGCGCGACAGCGUGGGGAGCAAACAGG